UGGGGAAUUUUGGACAAUGGGGGAAACCCUGAUCCAGCCAUCCCGCGUGUGCGAUGAAGGCCUUCGGGUUGUAAAGCACUUUUGGCAGGAAAGAAACGUCAUGGGUUAAUACCCCGUGAAACUGACGGUACCUGCAGAAUAAGCACCGGCUAACUACGUGCCAGCAGCCGCGGUAAUACGUAGGGUGCAAGCGUUAAUCGGAAUUACUGGGCGUAAAGCGUGCGCAGGCGGUUCGGAAAGAAAG
RNAcentral lists this ribosomal RNA (244 nucleotides) under Acidobacteriota bacterium. RNAcentral describes it as "Acidobacteria bacterium partial 16S ribosomal RNA". It matches the Rfam family "Bacterial small subunit ribosomal RNA", at positions 355 to 591 of the family's 1533-position model. Lineage: Bacteria; Pseudomonadati; Acidobacteriota. The record is from RNAcentral.